This 402-nucleotide ribosomal RNA is filed under the name uncultured bacterium. RNAcentral's name for it is "partial 16S ribosomal RNA". It matches the Rfam family "Bacterial small subunit ribosomal RNA", at positions 355 to 774 of the family's 1533-position model. RNAcentral also lists the same sequence under 2 other names. The record is from RNAcentral.
UGGGGAAUAUUGGACAAUGGGCGCAAGCCUGAUCCAGCCAUGCCGCGUGAGUGAUGAAGGCCCUAGGGUUGUAAAGCUCUUUUGUGCGGGAAGAUAAUGACGGUACCGCAAGAAUAAGCCCCGGCUAACUUCGUGCCAGCAGCCGCGGUAAUACGAAGGGGGCUAGCGUUGCUCGGAAUCACUGGGCGUAAAGGGUGCGUAGGCGGGUCUUUAAGUCAGAGGUGAAAGCCUGGAGCUCAACUCCAGAACUGCCUUUGAUACUGAGGAUCUCGAGUUCGGGAGAGGUGAGUGGAACUGCGAGUGUAGAGGUGAAAUUCGUAGAUAUUCGCAAGAACACCAGUGGCGAAGGCGGCUCACUGGCCCGAUACUGACGCUGAGGCACGAAAGCGUGGGGAGCAAACA